AGGGUGAGGAAUAGAUAGGAACGUGCCUUUGGCUUCGGAAUAGCGUCCCGAAAGGGGCGGUAAUACCGGAUAACGUCUACGGACCAAAGAUUUAUCGGCCUUAGAGCGGCCUAUCUCCUAUCAGCUUGUUGGUGGGGUAAUGGCCUACCAAGGCAACGACGGGUAGCGGGACUGAGAGGUUGGCCCGCCACAUCGGGACUGAGACACUGCCCGGACCUCCACGGAGGGCUGCAGUAACGAAUAUUGGGCAAUGGGCGAAAGCCUGACCCAGCAAUGCCGCGUGUAGGAUGAAGCCCCUCGGGGUGUAAACUACUGUCAGGGGUUAGAAAGCUACGGUUGAUCAACCCCAGAGGAAGUCACGGCUAACUUCGUGCCAGCAGCCGCGGUAAUACGAAGGUGGCGAGCGUUAUUCGGAAUUACUGGGCUUAAAGCGCACGCAGGCGGAAUAUUUAGCGUCUUGUGAAAUCCCCCGGCUUAACCGGGGAAUUGCAGGGCGAACUGGUAUUCUUGAGGCAAGUAGGGGUGCAUGGAACUCUUGGUGGAGCGGUGGAAUGCGUAGAUAUCAAGAGGAACGCCGAUGGUGAAGACAGUGCACUGGGCUUGUCCUGACGCUGAGGUGCGAAAGCGUGGGGAGCGAACGGGAUUAGAUACCCCGGUAGUCCACGCCGUAAACGAUGCCUACUAGGUCGUGGUUGUUCUGACACACUCACGGCCGAAGCAAAAGUGUUUAGUAGGCCGCCUGGGGAGUACGGUCGCAAGGCUAAAACUCAAAGGAAUUGACGGGGGCUCACACAAGCGGUGGAGCAUGUGGAUUAAUUCGAAGCAACGCGCAGAACCUUACCUGGGUUUGACAUGUAUGGAUGCCUGCUGUGAAAACAGUUAGGUUGCCUUCGGGUGAAACUUACACAGGUGCUGCAUGGCUGUCGUCAGCUCGUGUCGUGAGAUGUCGGGUUAA
This 955-nucleotide ribosomal RNA is filed under the name uncultured organism. RNAcentral describes it as "bacterial SSU rRNA". It matches the Rfam family "Bacterial small subunit ribosomal RNA", at positions 103 to 1083 of the family's 1533-position model. The record is from RNAcentral.